RNAcentral lists this long non-coding RNA (737 nucleotides) under Nicotiana benthamiana. Its description in RNAcentral is "long non-coding RNA (NBEN_LNC038384)". Lineage: Eukaryota; Viridiplantae; Streptophyta; Magnoliopsida; Solanales; Solanaceae. The record is from RNAcentral.
UAUAACCAUUCAUCAGACACCACUUUGAACUCAGAAGGGGAAAUUAAGCAAAUAUCAAAUGACUGCUUCCUCCAACUUCCAAGAUGGCUAAGAACUUGAGUAAAGGGGUGGUUACAGUAUGCAAAGAGCACACAGCCAAUAAGUGACUUGAAGUGCAAUAAAUGCCUGGAAAAUGCCAGUCUCUAAGUCUUCCGUAGAAGCUGUUAUAACUUAAAAUAAGGAAGAGAAGAACAAGUGAACAACUAGUAGACUAACAGCAGCAGAGUGAAAAGUGCACGGUCUUAAACAUCUAGAAAGAAUAUAAGGUUCAACUUUUUCUCUGACCUAAUGAUCAUGGACCAAUGAGACAGACAGGGCAAAAGACACAUUAAGACUUCCUCCCUCCAAGUAUACUUACGUUAGCCCGUCUUAAGCAAAAAGAGUUGAAAACAAACAAUCAACAGUUAUCAAAAGACACAUUCAGACUUCCUCUCUCCAAGUAUACUUACGUUGGCCCGUCUUAAGCAAAAGCAGUUGAAAACAAACAAUCAACACUUAUUGCUUUUCAAAUAACAAUAGCUGCAAAAUUUGGCAACACUUAUCACUCUUCACAAACACGGUAAGAAGAAAGGAAUCUUGAUUUGUUCAAAAGACAAUAAAACUCUUUUUUUUUCUUUUCUUAUUUACGAAUCUUUUGAGAAUGUGACAAGCUCCAACUUGAAACAAGCUAAAAAUUACAAAUUCUAGAUGAUUUUCAA